Molecule: long non-coding RNA, 2967 nt
Organism: Leopardus geoffroyi (Geoffroy's cat)
Lineage: Eukaryota; Metazoa; Chordata; Mammalia; Carnivora; Felidae
Exons: 3
Source: RefSeq, a predicted model, not a curated record
GAUUGGUCAAAACAGGCUAAGCUCUGCCCAUAGACCCCUAGAUCUCUCCGACAAGUACUCAUUCUUACUCACGAAGACUGGCUCUGCAUCUCAGCGACCCUCCAGGGCUGCUCUUCUCCACGUGGUGACUCAGUGACCAGGCAAAUGGGAUCCUAAGGCUUUUUUUUUUUUUUUUUUAAUCCCCACAUGAAGCUCCGUCUGUGGCCACGGAAGGAAAGGGGGCAGCUAGAGAAUUGCCUGUGUGCUUCUCACUGCUUUAGUCUGACGGUUACGUCUGACAUUUCCAGUCGCAAGUCGCUGGCCGGACUGGUCACGUGACCCUGCCUCACGGCAGGGGGCUGCGGAAUAUAAGGAAACAAAUGGAAUAUCUGAGCCUGGGCUUUGGGACUCGUGGGUCUGGAUGUGACCUUGGUUCUGCUGCUGAAUAAACGGGGUGACCUUGGCCAGACCAGCAACCUUCUCGGAGCCUCAGUUUUCUCUUCUGUAAAAUGGUAACCCGAAGGGUUACUGUGAGGAUUAACUGACACUGCUUAUGAAAAGAGCUCGGCACAUAGUAGGUGCUCAUUAAAAGGUAGCUUUUCCUGACUGUUGUGUCAGCUUGGGCCCCUUUGGGCUCUCCGCUCUUAAAUCAUGAGUCCUGUAUUCCUGACUCUCGCCAGAUGGGGGCAGUCACGGCUUUGUUAUUCCCUACACGCUCAAAGAGGGCCUCCUCCAGCGUCAGGCUGACUUGCCACCAGAGGGCUUUGUCACCUCUCUUAAAAGCAUCUUCCGGUGGACAGGGUGCUGGACAAUAGGCAAAACCCAUCAGAUUCUAAUUUGUUUCUCAAUCGAUUGUUUCCUCAUCUAAAAUGAGGGGCUAAGCAGCCCAUCACUCUAAGCUCCGUAUGGCUGAGACCAGCACUCACAACGCUGGGUCCCAGUCCUCUAGGGAGAACAUGCCCCGGGCACACAGGUGAGCCCCUGCUGUGCACUCCAUGUGAAAGGGGAGUCUCCUGGUGGCGGUGCCGGUGCCGUGCCAGAGCUGCAGAGCCAACGAUGUGUACUCAGCCCAUUCAUCUGCCUUCUGCCGCAGGAGCCCCCACAGAUGCCGAAGGUGCAGGGAAUGACUCAGCUCCAGCUUUUUCUGCUGUUUGGAUGCCUCCAGAAUGAUCUUCAGACCACAAGAUGGCACAGGAGCCACAAGAUGGAACAGCCUGUGUCCUGGAGCAACCAUGGCAGUGAAGCCACCCUGGAGAGCCAGGGGCCACGAGCAUGAACAUUAGACUCUAUAUGAGUGAGAAAUAGACAUGCAUAAGUAUUUCAAAUAUACCAAAGAAGUAGAGAGCAUAGUACAACAGCCCACUGUCGCCACCCAUCAUUCAGCCUCAAAAAUCAUCAACAUUUUUUUUCUCUUCUUUCAUUCACCUGCCCCACCCUACUUUUAAAUUGUUUGCUGGAGUUUUUAAAAGUACUUCCCAGGCAACGUGCCGAAAGACAGAACAGAACACAAAACAAACUCCAAACACACUUUAUCGUGUUAAGCCACCAAGAUGAGGGGUCGUUUGUCCCAUUGUUAGCCAGCCCAGACUAAGCGGUGGGCACUGGGUACCUAGCUAUUGAAUUGAACACAAGUGACCUGUUUUUCUAGGCUGCGCUGGGUGAGGAGGAAUGUGUCUGGGCCUAAAGCAGUAAGAAUGCCAAGCCUCCUAGCUCUCUGAGAAGUAGUUUUCUCUGUUCUUCUGGCCAAGCUGCACCCAGCCGCACCCAGCCGCACCCACCCACCCUACUGGCCCCUACCUCCUACAUCUUCCUUUCUCCAGGCCCUGGGCUGCUGAAGGAAGAAAUAGACCUAAGGUGGAAUGGGGAAUAGAGGGUUUCUGGGGCCCUGUCUCAGCUUGAGCUGGGCCAGUUGUGGGAGGGCGAGGCUGGAACAGAGAGAGCGGGCACGAGGGACGGAUGUUGGACACCUACAGCUUAGCAGCAGGGUCUGGGGCCAGGGGAGCAACACCUUUUGUGCCUUUCAGCUUGGCCUGUGUUCAUGACCCUGAAGCACAGAAGCAGGAGGAAGUUUUGUGGUCAGACCCCAAGGGUGGGCUGGAGUCCACUCAAAAAGUCAUUGUUAUCGAGCACGGGUUGGGUAGCCCUGUGCCCGGCGCUGGGAUGCAUGGUGGGCCAGAUCCUGGCUUAGCUGCUCCCCAGCUGUGUCACCUUGGGCAGGUUCCUUCACCCCAAUGAGCCUCAGACUCCUCAUUUUACAAACGAGGACGGAAAUAUCAGUCUUACCAGGGAAACUGGCCAUGAUGUAUGGAGAGAGCCUGGCACCCAGUAGGCUCUUGAUGACUCACAGAGAUUGCUAUUGAUUUCUGUUAACAGCAGCUAUGAGCAUGGAAAGUGCGCGUGGGCACCCUUCCAGGGAGUGGAUCAGGGCCGGAAGAUACUGAACCCCAUCCUGUUGGGAGCUGUUUUCAGAGAAGGAGAAAUGGAGGAAUGCUGGGAGCCAAAGAGCUUUCUCUGGGAGCGGCCAGGUCUAAUUUUGCAUGUCAGAGGAGAUGGGUGGGUGGAAUCCUGCAAUUCAGGGGCUCUUUCCUGGAAGGGGCUGGAUAGGCAACAAAAUGCUUCCUCCCUUAGAGACAGCCUCACAGCUGUCAGGAAAAAACAGCUGCAUGGCUUCCCUUCAAAGAGGGGAGACCUCAGUCUGUGGGGGAGCGGGGCAAGACGUGACAGCAAACAGGAACUCCCCGGCAGAUUUUCUCAGGGGCGGGGGUUAGAGGGGAGGAUGGACCAGGUUCAAAAGCCAGUCGUCCUACUUCCUGGCUGUGUGACCUUGGGCAAGUCACUUCACCUCUCCCGAGCCCUCGUGGUGUCGUGCUUUAAACGAUGCUCAUCUCACAAGGCUAUUAUGAGAAGAAAUGAUCGUGCGUCUAAAAUGCCUUGUGUGGUGCCUGGUACACCAGAAGCACUCAAUAAAAGGUCAUUGUAAAUCACUCA